UACAGAGGUCUCAAGCGUUGUUCGGAUUCAUUGGGCGUAAAGGGUGCGUAGGCGGCGCGGUAAGUCGGGUGUUAAAUCUUGGAGCUUAACUCCGAAACUGCAUUCGAUACUGCCGUGCUUGAGGACUGGAGAGGAGACUGGAAUUUACGGUGUAGCGGUGAAAUGCGCAGAUAUCGUAAGGAAGACCAGUGGCGAAGGCGGGUCUCUGGACAGUUCCUGACGCUGAGGCACGAAGGCCAGGGGAGCAAACGGG
This 253-nucleotide ribosomal RNA is filed under the name uncultured bacterium. Its description in RNAcentral is "partial 16S ribosomal RNA". It matches the Rfam family "Bacterial small subunit ribosomal RNA", at positions 524 to 776 of the family's 1533-position model. The record is from RNAcentral.